RNAcentral lists this long non-coding RNA (220 nucleotides) under Musa acuminata (dwarf banana). RNAcentral's name for it is "long non-coding RNA (MACU_LNC009670)". Lineage: Eukaryota; Viridiplantae; Streptophyta; Magnoliopsida; Zingiberales; Musaceae. The record is from RNAcentral.
AAUAUAAUAUUUGUUGAUAUUUGAGCUUUUAAAUUGGUCCAAAAAUAAUUUAUGAUAUGCGAAGCACUAUGUUUUGGAUUUUGGGUAAAAAUAGUGCAUUAGGUAUUUGAAAAUAUUUUCUCUAGCUCAAAUUUUUACUAUGUAUUUUAGAGCAAUUUAUAAGAUCGAGUGUAAAUAAAACAUUGCAUAGAUCCAUGAUAUUUUGUAAAAAAUAAAAAUA